Molecule: ribosomal RNA, 374 nt
Filed under: uncultured bacterium
Lineage: Bacteria
Description: bacterial SSU rRNA
Rfam family: Bacterial small subunit ribosomal RNA
Source: RNAcentral
UACGUAGGUGGCAAGCGUUAUCCGGAAUUACUGGGUGUAAAGGGCGAGUAGGCGGAUUGACAAGUCAGUAGUGAAAUACCAUGGCUUAACUGUGGAAAUGCUAUUGAAACUGUUGAUCUUGAGUGAUGGAGAGGCAGGCGGAAUUCCCAGUGUAGCGGUGAAAUGCGUAGAUAUUGGGAGGAACACCAGUGGCGAAGGCGGCCUGCUGGACAUUAACUGACGCUGAGGAGCGAGAGCGUGGGGAGCAAACAGGAUUAGAUACCCUGGUAGUCCACGCUGUAAACUAUGGAUACUAGGUGUGGGAAGGCUGACCCUUCCGUGCCGGAGUUAACACAAUAAGUAUCCCACCUGAGGAGUACGGCCGCAAGGUUGAA